CCUACGGGAGGCAGCAGUGAGGAAUAUUGGUCAAUGGACGAGAGUCUGAACCAGCCAAGUAGCGUGAAGGAUGACUGCCCUAUGGGUUGUACACUUCUUUUAUAUGGGAAUAAAAUGUUCCACGUGUGGGAUUUUGUAUGUACCAUAUGAAUAAGGAUCGGCUAACUCCGUGCCAUCAGCCGCGGUAAUACGGAGGAUGCGAGCGUUAUCCGGAUUUAUUGGGUUUAAGGGGUUCGUAGCCGGAAUGCCAAGUCAGCGGUAAAAUCGCGGGGCUCAACCUAGCUCCGCCGUUGAAACUGGCGUGCUGGAGUGGGCGAGAGGUAGGCGGAAUGCGUGGUGUAGCGGUGAAAUGCAGAGAUAUCACGCAGAACUCCGAUUGCGAAGGCAGCAUACCGGAGCCCAACUGACGCUGAAGCACGAAAGCGUGGGUAUCGAACAGGAUUAGAUACCCUUGUAGUC
Molecule: ribosomal RNA, 459 nt
Filed under: uncultured bacterium
Lineage: Bacteria
Description: partial 16S ribosomal RNA
Rfam family: Bacterial small subunit ribosomal RNA
Source: RNAcentral